Molecule: small nuclear RNA, 136 nt
Organism: Macadamia integrifolia
Lineage: Eukaryota; Viridiplantae; Streptophyta; Magnoliopsida; Proteales; Proteaceae
Product: U12 minor spliceosomal RNA
Exons: 1
Source: RefSeq, a predicted model, not a curated record
CUACCUUAAACUAAUAGAAUAAGGAAAACAAAGCAAGCGGUCAGAGCCUCUCGCCGCGCUAGCCUUCUGGUGCGCGAGAAUUUUUGGAGGGGAUAUAGGCUCGCCGAGCGUUGACGCUGCUUCGAGCUGGCCUCCC